AAACGUAGGAGUCCCUGCUCAGGCUUGUUAAAUUCCCACUUGCAACUUGGUCAGGAUGCUCACUAGAGUAGUUCUGCCUUAUACUGGAAUUAUAAGCAAAAGGAGGGUAAAUGAGAGAGACUAGUGCAAGGGGGAAGGGAGGAGACUCCAGCAUUUGUGGGAGGAUAAUUAGCACAGUGGGUUUUCUUAUAAUUGGGAUCAUUUGUUCUCCCAGUUUUUCUCCCACAAACUGAUUUCAUGCCAGAGAGAAGCUGUGUGACUCACACCUUGCCAUGCCAAUUAGCUGAUAAACAUCAAAUGUAAACAAAGAUGGUUUAAUUAAGACUAGUCACCAAACCUCUCCAUGCAGCUUGUCAAAAACAGCACUAACAUCUUUGCAUCCAUCUUUGGUCUACUACUGCUUUCUGGGGCCUUGCCAGACAGGCCUUCAAGAGCAGCUCUGUGAUCAUCUGUGCAAGUUCCUUCAGUGCACUGGGAGGUGAUUUAUCUGAUCAGGGAGACUUGAAUUAAUCUACAUAAACUAAGUUAAAUCUUCAGUAAGUUUGAGAACUAAUUUUCAAACCUUAGUGUGAGUUCUUUACUAGAAAGAGAGAGAAAGAGAGACCUGGAGAGAAGAAAGAAGAGACUGCUUCUCUACUGAGACCAAAAAUGUGAUCCAUGAUCUCUUCUGCACAAAGUAUUUUAUAACCUGACAACAGUGGAACAGAUAAUCCUUAACGUACAACCACGGUUGGGACCAGAACUUCCAUUGCU
This is a long non-coding RNA of Crotalus tigris (Tiger rattlesnake), 753 nucleotides long. RefSeq lists it as uncharacterized. Lineage: Eukaryota; Metazoa; Chordata; Lepidosauria; Squamata; Viperidae. The record is from RefSeq and is a predicted model, not a curated record. The transcript has 3 exons.